RNAcentral lists this transfer RNA (70 nucleotides) under Amycolatopsis sp. YIM 10. Its description in RNAcentral is "tRNA-Ala". The record is from RNAcentral. Lineage: Bacteria; Bacillati; Actinomycetota; Actinomycetes; Pseudonocardiales; Pseudonocardiaceae.
GUGCUGGUAGAGGGUUUACGUGAUCCUUACUGGCAGUGAGGGGGUCAGGGGUUCGAGUCCCCUUAGCUCC